GAUGAACGCUAGCGGCAGGCUUAACACAUGCAAGUCGAGGGGCAGCGCGAUGUAGCAAUACAUUGGCGGCGACCGGCGCACGGGUGCGUAACACGUAUGGAAUCUGCCCUGUACUGGAAGAUAACCCGGCGAAAGUCGGACUAAUAUCCCAUAAUAGCCGAGGUGGCAUCACCUUGGUUUGAAAGCUCCGGCGGUACAGGAUGACCAUGCGCACGAUUAGCUAGUUGGUGAGGUAACGGCUCACCAAGGCUACGAUCGUUAGGGGGGCCUGAGAGGGUUAUCCCCCACACUGGUACUGAGACACGGACCCAGACUCCUACGGGAGGCAGCAGUGAGGAAUAUUGCGCAAUGGAGGCAACUCUGACGCAGCCAUGCCGCGUGCAGGAAGAAGGCGCUACGCGUUGUAAACUGCUUUUAUCCGGGAAGAAACCCCAGGACGUGUCCUGGGUUGGACGGUACCGGAGGAAUAAGCACCGGCUAACUUCGUGCCAGC
This 493-nucleotide ribosomal RNA is filed under the name uncultured bacterium. RNAcentral's name for it is "bacterial SSU rRNA". It matches the Rfam family "Bacterial small subunit ribosomal RNA", at positions 28 to 512 of the family's 1533-position model. The record is from RNAcentral.